Molecule: long non-coding RNA, 658 nt
Organism: Hippocampus zosterae (dwarf seahorse)
Lineage: Eukaryota; Metazoa; Chordata; Actinopteri; Syngnathiformes; Syngnathidae
Exons: 2
Source: RefSeq, a predicted model, not a curated record
AAAACAAUGACCUCUCUGCACAGUCUGCCCAACAAACCAGGACCGGAAGUCUUCUUCAAAUGCUUUGACUUCGUACAGUUGCAAGUUGCCACCGCCGCCGCUCAGCAUGUAGAGGGAAGCUGCAUCUGCAUAAACAUGACAAAUUAAAAAAGAGAGCGGGAGUACAGUUGAGUGGCCAGAACGUGCAUAUGGACUGGAAGUUCUACCUGUGGCUGGAUUCCGUAGCCUCACAAAGGUCGGGUCAUUGUCCUUCCUCUGGCUGUCUAUCGCGGAGUCUCCAGGCAAAGUCAGGUAGGUGACAAUUAAACACUUCAUGCAAACAUCGUACUCGGUCAAACUAAUAAAGGAUAAGUGCUCGACAAGUCUCGGAAAUCUUUGAAAGUAGCGACGCCUCCACGGUGCGCUAGCAUGCUAGCAAACAAACAAAUCAAGUAGUUUACACGACGAAAGGCACCGUGUGUUAAGCUAAUUUCGCCGGGCCGAGUGAAGACAGUGGUUACCUGCAGCAAUAACAACCCAGCUAUCGUUCUGCACGUUCGGCGUUCGCUUCUUUUUUGAGGCCAUGGUGAAACGUGGAACCCUGUAUAUAAAUGAUUUGCAGUUGUCACGCUGUGUGCGGUUUUGUUUUUCAAUUAUCGCUCAAAGACAACGAACCAAA